CUCACAAGGACUACCUUGACCAAGGUUUUGCUAAAUUGAAACAUGACUGUACACACCUCCUAAACUGGAGUGGUCAAUCCCAUCUUGACACACACACCAACAAGUCAAGUACUUGACUACACCCAGUAGCCUUCUGUCACUGAAUUAGAAAUUCAGGUAGUCCAGUGCCUAAGUGCAGUGAGUUGCUUGUAAGUCAUCGUGGCGGUCU
This 208-nucleotide long non-coding RNA is filed under the name Elaeis guineensis (African oil palm). RNAcentral describes it as "long non-coding RNA (EGUI_LNC078093)". Lineage: Eukaryota; Viridiplantae; Streptophyta; Magnoliopsida; Arecales; Arecaceae. The record is from RNAcentral.